GGUUACUGGUGGGACAAUGGAAAUAAACAAAUUGCCUUUGGAAGUGGUAGACGAGGAUUUAUUGCUUUUAAUGGCGACAAUGUUGAUUUUAAUCAAACUUUGCAGUCAAAACUGUGAAGUGACGAUACUUGUAAGAAAACAAAAACAGAAACACAAUUGUACACAUGUAACUCUAUUGAAACAUUCAAAAUACAAAUAAAGUCAUAUUUUUAUAAUAUGUUCGAUUUUCCUUGUAUGUUAAA
This 242-nucleotide unclassified non-coding RNA is filed under the name Melitaea cinxia (Glanville fritillary). RNAcentral describes it as "misc RNA ENSMCXG00005021728.1". Lineage: Eukaryota; Metazoa; Arthropoda; Insecta; Lepidoptera; Nymphalidae. The record is from RNAcentral.